UACGUAGGGGGCGAGCGUUGUCCGGAUUCAUUGGGCGUAAAGCGCUUUAAGGCGGUUCGGUAAGUCGGGUGUGAAACCUCCAGGCUCAACCUGGAGACGCCACUCGAUACUGCUGUGACUAGAGUUCGGUAGGGGAUCACGGAAUUCCUGGUGUAGCGGUGAAAUGCGUAGAUAUCAUUUGGAACGCCAAUGGUGAAAACAGGUAGCUGGGAGUGUGCUGACGCUGAGACACGAAAGCCAGGGGAGCGAACGGG
Molecule: ribosomal RNA, 254 nt
Filed under: uncultured bacterium
Lineage: Bacteria
Description: partial 16S ribosomal RNA
Rfam family: Bacterial small subunit ribosomal RNA
Source: RNAcentral